Long non-coding RNA from Phycodurus eques (leafy seadragon), 396 nucleotides. RefSeq lists it as uncharacterized. Lineage: Eukaryota; Metazoa; Chordata; Actinopteri; Syngnathiformes; Syngnathidae. The record is from RefSeq and is a predicted model, not a curated record. The transcript has 2 exons.
UCAUGCUGAGUCACAUUUCUGCCCCUCUGUCUUUCUAUUUGUGCCCUCUUUUCAAACUGGCUGCUAAUUUGGUCUGCGGUUUUGGACACGGAAGAUGAGCAGGCGAGGGAGGCCCGUCUCAGCGUAGCUUUUAUCUUCAAACCCGUGCAGCAGACGCCCUUGGAAGGCCAAGCGGCAUGCAUUAGCGUGGAUGUCCGCGUCUAGCUUGGAGCCAAUCACCAGGCAGAGUAAGGGGCACGUGACAGGCCGCUCAAACUCCAACAGUGCCCACUGCUCUGGCUCGGGUCCUGAACUGGACUCUCGCUGGCCGGUGACGUAGCCUUCCUGGUAGAGGUACUCCCUGUCGAAGGUGAAGGCCGUUUCCAGCGAGCAGGGCUCUUGAUGUGGCGUGUUUGG